UGGUUGGUUCAUACUGAUGGUUGGUUCAUACGGAUGGUUGGUUCAUACGGAUGGUUGGUUCAUACGGAUGGUUGGUUCAUACGGAUGGUUAAUACUGAUGGUUUGUUAAUACUGAUGGUUGGUUCAUACUGAUGGUUGGUUCAUACAGAUGGUUGGUUAAUAGGGAUGGUUGGUUCACACGGAUGGUUGGUUCAUAAUUAUGGUAGGUUCAUACGGAUGGUUGGUUCAUACGGAUGGAUGGUUCAUACGGGUGGUUGGUUCAUACGGAUGGAUGGUUCAUACGGAUGGUUGGUUCAUACGGAUGGUUGGUUAAUACUGAUGGUUGGUUCAUACAGAUGGUUGGUUAAUAGGGAUGGUUGGUUAAAAGGGAUGGUUGGUUCAUACGGAUGGUUGGUUCAUACGGAUGGUUGGUUCAUACUGAUGGUUGGUUCAUACAGAUGGGUGGUACAUACGGAUGGUUGGUUCAUACGGAUGGUUCAUACUGAUGGUUGGUUCAUACUGAUGGUUGGUUCAUACUGAUGGUUGGUUCAUACGGA
Molecule: long non-coding RNA, 536 nt
Organism: Oncorhynchus tshawytscha (Chinook salmon)
Lineage: Eukaryota; Metazoa; Chordata; Actinopteri; Salmoniformes; Salmonidae
Source: Ensembl